Ochotona princeps (American pika) is the source of this 97-nucleotide ribosomal RNA. The record is from Ensembl. NCBI's taxonomy places the organism in Eukaryota, Metazoa, Chordata, Mammalia, Lagomorpha, Ochotonidae.
GUCUAUGGCCAUACCACCAUGAAAGCUCUGAUCUUAGAAGCUAAACAGGUCGGGCCUGGUUAGUAGUUGGAUUGGAGAAUUGGGAGACCUUUGGACA